This 279-nucleotide unclassified non-coding RNA is filed under the name fungal sp. RNAcentral's name for it is "partial internal transcribed spacer region". The stretch from base 1 to 46 matches the Rfam family "Eukaryotic small subunit ribosomal RNA", at positions 1786 to 1831 of the family's 1831-position model. Lineage: Eukaryota; Fungi. The record is from RNAcentral.
AAGUCGUAACAAGGUUUCCGUAGGUGAACCUGCGGAAGGAUCAUUAUUGAAUUUAAUGUAGAGUUGGUUGUAGCUGGCCUAAUUAAUAAUUUGGGCAUGUGCACACCUUCUCUUUCAUCCACACACACCUGUGCACCUGUGAGACAGAGUGGGAAUCUUAAUUUAAUUUAAUUGGACCCUCUGUCUACUUAAUUCACACAAACUCUAUUUAUUAUAAAAUGAAUGUAAUUGAUGUAACGCAUCUAAUACUAAGUUUCAACAACGGAUCUCUUGGCUCUC